This 1296-nucleotide ribosomal RNA is filed under the name Klebsiella pneumoniae. RNAcentral describes it as "bacterial SSU rRNA". It matches the Rfam family "Bacterial small subunit ribosomal RNA", at positions 8 to 1296 of the family's 1533-position model. The record is from RNAcentral. Lineage: Bacteria; Pseudomonadati; Pseudomonadota; Gammaproteobacteria; Enterobacterales; Enterobacteriaceae.
AGAGUUUGAUCAUGGCUCAGAUUGAACGCUGGCGGCAGGCCUAACACAUGCAAGUCGAGCGGUAGCACAGAGAGCUUGCUCUCGGGUGACGAGCGGCGGACGGGUGAGUAAUGUCUGGGAAACUGCCUGAUGGAGGGGGAUAACUACUGGAAACGGUAGCUAAUACCGCAUAACGUCGCAAGACCAAAGUGGGGGACCUUCGGGCCUCAUGCCAUCAGAUGUGCCCAGAUGGGAUUAGCUAGUAGGUGGGGUAACGGCUCACCUAGGCGACGAUCCCUAGCUGGUCUGAGAGGAUGACCAGCCACACUGGAACUGAGACACGGUCCAGACUCCUACGGGAGGCAGCAGUGGGGAAUAUUGCACAAUGGGCGCAAGCCUGAUGCAGCCAUGCCGCGUGUGUGAAGAAGGCCUUCGGGUUGUAAAGCACUUUCAGCGGGGAGGAAGGCGGUGAGGUUAAUAACCUCAUCGAUUGACGUUACCCGCAGAAGAAGCACCGGCUAACUCCGUGCCAGCAGCCGCGGUAAUACGGAGGGUGCAAGCGUUAAUCGGAAUUACUGGGCGUAAAGCGCACGCAGGCGGUCUGUCAAGUCGGAUGUGAAAUCCCCGGGCUCAACCUGGGAACUGCAUUCGAAACUGGCAGGCUAGAGUCUUGUAGAGGGGGGUAGAAUUCCAGGUGUAGCGGUGAAAUGCGUAGAGAUCUGGAGGAAUACCGGUGGCGAAGGCGGCCCCCUGGACAAAGACUGACGCUCAGGUGCGAAAGCGUGGGGAGCAAACAGGAUUAGAUACCCUGGUAGUCCACGCCGUAAACGAUGUCGAUUUGGAGGUUGUGCCCUUGAGGCGUGGCUUCCGGAGCUAACGCGUUAAAUCGACCGCCUGGGGAGUACGGCCGCAAGGUUAAAACUCAAAUGAAUUGACGGGGGCCCGCACAAGCGGUGGAGCAUGUGGUUUAAUUCGAUGCAACGCGAAGAACCUUACCUGGUCUUGACAUCCACAGAACUUUCCAGAGAUGGAUUGGUGCCUUCGGGAACUGUGAGACAGGUGCUGCAUGGCUGUCGUCAGCUCGUGUUGUGAAAUGUUGGGUUAAGUCCCGCAACGAGCGCAACCCUUAUCCUUUGUUGCCAGCGGUCCGGCCGGGAACUCAAAGGAGACUGCCAGUGAUAAACUGGAGGAAGGUGGGGAUGACGUCAAGUCAUCAUGGCCCUUACGACCAGGGCUACACACGUGCUACAAUGGCAUAUACAAAGAGAAGCGACCUCGCGAGAGCAAGCGGACCUCAUAAAGUAUGUCGUAGUCCGG